GUCGAGCGAACAGACGAGGAGCUUGCUUCUCUGACGUUAGCGGCGGACGGGUGAGUAACACGUGGAUAACCUACCUAUAAGACUGGGAUAACUUCGGGAAACCGGAGCUAAUACCGGAUAAUAUAUUGAACCGCAUGGUUCAAUAGUGAAAGACGGUUUUGCUGUCACUUAUAGAUGGAUCCGCGCCGCAUUAGCUAGUUGGUAAGGUAACGGCUUACCAAGGCAACGAUGCGUAGCCGACCUGAGAGGGUGAUCGGCCACACUGGAACUGAGACACGGUCCAGACUCCUACGGGAGGCAGCAGUAGGGAAUCUUCCGCAAUGGGCGAAAGCCUGACGGAGCAACGCCGCGUGAGUGAUGAAGGUCUUCGGAUCGUAAAACUCUGUUAUUAGGGAAGAACAAAUGUGUAAGUAACUAUGCACGUCUUGACGGUACCUAAUCAGAAAGCCACGGCUAACUACGUGCCAGCAGCCGCGGUAAUACGUAGGUGGCAAGCGUUAUCCGGAAUUAUUGGGCGUAAAGCGCGCGUAGGCGGUUUUUUAAGUCUGAUGUGAAAGCCCACGGCUCAACCGUGGAGGGUCAUUGGAAACUGGAAAACUUGAGUGCAGAAGAGGAAAGUGGAAUUCCAUGUGUAGCGGUGAAAUGCGCAGAGAUAUGGAGGAACACCA
Molecule: ribosomal RNA, 668 nt
Filed under: uncultured Staphylococcus sp.
Lineage: Bacteria; Bacillati; Bacillota; Bacilli; Caryophanales; Staphylococcaceae
Description: bacterial SSU rRNA
Rfam family: Bacterial small subunit ribosomal RNA
Source: RNAcentral